This 510-nucleotide ribosomal RNA is filed under the name Calinaga davidis. Its description in RNAcentral is "partial 16S ribosomal RNA". The stretch from base 387 to 510 matches the Rfam family "Bacterial large subunit ribosomal RNA", at positions 2473 to 2597 of the family's 2925-position model. Lineage: Eukaryota; Metazoa; Arthropoda; Insecta; Lepidoptera; Nymphalidae. The record is from RNAcentral.
GUCUUUUUGAAAUUAAUUUAAAGUCUAAUCUGCCCACUGAUAUAAAUUAAAGGGCUGCAGUAUAUUGACUGUACAAAGGUAGCAUAAUCAUUAGUCUUUUAAUUGGAGACUUGUAUGAAAGAUUUGAUGAAAUAUAAACUGUCUCUAAUAUAUUAAUAGAACUUUAUUUUUUAGUAAAAAAGCUAAAAUUUAUUUAAAAGACGAGAAGACCCUAUAGAGUUUUAUAAUUAUUUUAUUUUAAAUUAAUUAUAAAAUUUAAAAUUAAAAAUGAAAUAAUUAUUUUAUUGGGGUGAUAGAAAAAUUAGAAAAACUUUUUUUAAAUAUUAAAUAUAAAUAAAUAGAUAUAUGAUCCAUUUAUAAUGAUUAUAAGAAAAAAUUACCUUAGGGAUAACAGCGUAAUAUUUUUUUUUAGUUCAAAUAAAAAAGAAAGUUUGCGACCUCGAUGUUGGAUUAAGAUAAAAUUUAGACGCAAAAGUUUAAAAUUUUGAUCUGUUCGAUCAUUAAAAUCUU